AGAGUUUGAUCCUGGCUCAGGACGAACGCUGGCGGCGUGCUUAACACAUGCAAGUCGAGCGAUGAAGUUUUCUUCGGGAAACGGAUUAGCGGCGGACGGGUGAGUAACACGUGGGUAACCUGCCUCAUAGAGUGGAAUAGCCUUCCGAAAGGAAGAUUAAUACCGCAUAACGUUGAAAGAUGGCAUCAUCAUUCAACCAAAGGAGCAAUCCGCUAUGAGAUGGACCCGCGGCGCAUUAGCUAGUUGGUGGGGUAACGGCCUACCAAGGCGACGAUGCGUAGCCGACCUGAGAGGGUGAUCGGCCACAUUGGGACUGAGACACGGCCCAGACUCCUACGGGAGGCAGCAGUGGGGAAUAUUGCACAAUGGGGGAAACCCUGAUGCAGCAACGCCGCGUGAGUGAUGAAGGUUUUCGGAUCGUAAAGCUCUGUCUUUGGGGAAGAUAAUGACGGUACCCAAGGAGGAAGCCACGGCUAACUACGUGCCAGCAGCCGCGGUAAUACGUAGGUGGCGAGCGUUAUCCGGAUUUACUGGGCGUAAAGGGAGCGUAGGCGGAUGAUUAAGUCUGAUGUGAAAGCCCACGGCUCAACCGUGGAGGGUCAUUGGAAACUGGGAAACUUGAGUGCAGAAGAGGAUAGUGGAAUUCCAAGUGUAGCGGUGAAAUGCGUAGAGAUUUGGAGGAACACCAGUGGCGAAGGCGACUGUCUGGUCUGUAACUGACACUGAGGCGCGAAAGCGUGGGGAGCAAACAGGAUUAGAUACCCUGGUAGUCCACGCCGUAAACGAUGAGUGCUAAGUGUUAGGGGGUUUCCGCCCCUUAGUGCUGCAGCUAACGCAUUAAGCACUCCGCCUGGGGAGUACGACCGCAAGGUUGAAACUCAAAGGAAUUGACGGGGGCCCGCACAAGCGGUGGAGCAUGUGGUUAAAUUCGAUGCAACGCGAAGAACCUUACCAAGGCUUGACAUGUUCCAGACCGCCUCAGAGAUGGGGUUUCCCUUCGGGGCUGGUUCACAGGUGGUGCAUGGUUGUCGUCAGCUCGUGUCGUGAGAUGUUGGGUUAAGUCCCGCAACGAGCGCAACCCUCGUUCCAUGUUGCCAGCGGGUUAUGCCGGGGACUCAUGGGAGACUGCCGGGGUCAACUCGGAGGAAGGUGGGGAUGACGUCAAAUCAUCAUGCCCCUUAUGUCUUGGGCUUCACGCAUGCUACAAUGGCCGGUACAAUGGGUUGCGAUACUGUGAGGUGGAGCUAAUCCCUAAAAGCCGGUCUCAGUUCGGAUUGGGGUCUGCAACUCGACCCCAUGAAGUCGGAGUCGCUAGUAAUCGCAGAUCAGCAACGCUGCGGUGAAUACGUUCCCGGGCCUUGCACUCACCGCCCGUCA
This 1377-nucleotide ribosomal RNA is filed under the name uncultured bacterium. RNAcentral's name for it is "partial 16S ribosomal RNA". It matches the Rfam family "Bacterial small subunit ribosomal RNA". The record is from RNAcentral.